Non-coding RNA from Gossypium raimondii (Peruvian cotton), 149 nucleotides. The record is from Rfam. NCBI's taxonomy places the organism in Eukaryota, Viridiplantae, Streptophyta, Magnoliopsida, Malvales, Malvaceae.
UGUACAAAAAUUCAUUCAUUUGUAUUGUUAAGAACUGGUGCGGUUAACAGAAUAACCAAACAGUGACACGUGGUAGGUGUACCACGUGUACCUAGUGUUGACGUAUAAUGACCAGUUUUUAACAGUAGAAAUGGAUGGAAUUUUUUACA